UUCAGUUCUUAAAUUAAUUUUCCCCUGACGUACGUGGGUACCUUUUAAUGUGAAUGUCUACAUUUCACCAUUUUUUAAAAUGUUCGGUUAGUUGUUUCAGUUAGCGGCGGAGCGAAAAUGACUCAGCGAAAACAACAACAGAUUUGAUGUUAACAAUUAUGGACUACUCGUGAAUAGUUUCAUCUUCAUUGAAUUGAUGUUUUGACUCCGAUUCUGUAUGGAGGACGUUAAUGGUAUAUGUGCAUCAUCAUUAUUAAGCGCAUCUUCUUGCGAUCGUUUGACUCUGAUUAAAAAGAUGGCCCUCUAUACAGCACCCGCUGACAACUAAUGAGCCAAACGGAAGAAGAAAGAGGGUCAGUGUCGGUGAAGGACAGAAUGAAGAAACUGGACCAGUUUGAUCAGCACGCCAUUCAUCGAGG
This 419-nucleotide long non-coding RNA is filed under the name Daphnia magna. RNAcentral describes it as "uncharacterized LOC123477605, transcript variant X2". The record is from RNAcentral. Lineage: Eukaryota; Metazoa; Arthropoda; Branchiopoda; Diplostraca; Daphniidae.